Galeopterus variegatus (Sunda flying lemur) is the source of this 485-nucleotide long non-coding RNA. RefSeq lists it as uncharacterized. Lineage: Eukaryota; Metazoa; Chordata; Mammalia; Dermoptera; Cynocephalidae. The transcript has 3 exons. The record is from RefSeq and is a predicted model, not a curated record.
AGGAGGCUGCUUCUGCACGUGGAUUCUCAGACAGAAACUGACUUGCUGAGGAGGCUGAGUGGAGCUGGCGUUGGCACCCUGGUCCCGGGCCACCGAUUUGAUUAGGAGUUUGGGGGAAGCUAUUAAUUUUAACUGAAGUUUAACCAUCUCCCUGCCUACUGGUUUCUAUCCUGCCCUCCUUGACGAAUGUAUUGCUGUAGAUUUUGAGGUUACUGGGAGCAACCUUGGCAUUCCAGGGAAUAGGAAGGAAGUGUCAUCCUGCACAGGCGAGCAGAUUCGCCACCUGCAAGCUGCAGAAAUAGAAAAUUGCCCCCUGAAGCAGAAUCUAUAGGCAUUCUCAAAGUCUGGCUACAAAUCCUUUGGAUUGAGAGCUUCCCCUGUGAUCUCAAAGCCCCAAGUUCCAGUGAAGAAAACAAGACACAAAGUGAUAUGUUUAUAUAUCGAUAUAACUCAAAGCCAAAAACCAAAUAAUACCUAUGUUGUUC